Long non-coding RNA from Leptinotarsa decemlineata (Colorado potato beetle), 926 nucleotides. The record is from RefSeq and is a predicted model, not a curated record. Lineage: Eukaryota; Metazoa; Arthropoda; Insecta; Coleoptera; Chrysomelidae.
UACUUGUAUAUUCCUUUGGAGGUUGUCCUUUCUUUUGCAAUCCCCAACAACGGCUUUCUAUACAAGGUCCGUCCAGUUUAUCAGGAUUGGGGGAAGUCUGUACUGUAACUAGCAGAGGAAAUCAAGCAAGCUCUAUCUACUAAGCAGGGAUGAAGCUGUCUUCAAGCGGUUAGGUGUAAAGCAGAGUUCUAAACAUGCAUGCUAGCUAAAUUGGUGUAUAGCUAUAGGACAUAAUGAUUUGGGAACUGGUAAUAUCCUUCGUACAGAGAAAACGUAAAACUAGGUACUAAACAAAAAGAGACCUGAGAAUACAGAAAAGUUACUAACCUGUGGAUCCAUUAAUACAUACGAAAUGCACUUAUUAGAGGAUAAUCCCCAGAAUGUGUCCCAGCGGAAUAUCUACCUUCGAUUGAGGGUGGUCUCGGAGAGAGUUUCGUCAGGAAACGUUUGAGACUCAGAAAAUCCUCUAUAACUUGAGAAAAUCACAACCACAUGUUCCACUUUGAUAAGCCCACAAUAAAAAAGAAAAAGAAACAGAUAGAUUCUGGAGGUCAAACUAGGAAUAUCAGUGACAUUUCAUCAAAGUUGAGAAUACUGAAGAUGACUGAAAUCAAAUUUUGAAUAUUUAGCCUAACCUAACCUGUAUGAAAAUGGAAAGUUGAGGAAUGGUGAUGAAACAGAUAAUGUUCUUAUUCUUUUCGGAAAUUCACAAUGAACUAAACUGGUAUCUUAAAUGAGAAAGCAUUCAAAAUAUUUUUCUGCUGUGCAAGAUCAUCGACUUCAAGUUAUUCAUCCUGAAUGAUUUGAUACAUUUUAUAAUGUUUUGGCUUACGAGAGCGCUAUUAAAGUUAUGAGUCAACUAGGAGGUAUCAGUAUAAUUGAACCCGUAAUACACUCCUCUUUCCCGAUAGAAGUUUUUUUUUCUC